AUGCCAGCUUGCUUUUUGUUUGCUUGUGUGUUAGUUUGCUUGAUUGCCACGAUGGAUCAAGAUAAUAUUAAAUUGUGUGACUUCACCAAUACCAACAACAAUGAUUUUAUUAGCACUCUGAUUGCUCCUCUUACCGAUGCUGAAUCUUGUGAAAUUAAUACUGCUUUGCUGAAUCUUGUCAUGAAAGAUCCGUUUUCUGGCCUUCCUAGUGAAGAUGCCGCUACCCAUGUGAAUAGCUUCGUUGAUUUGUGUGACAUGCAAAAUAAGAAAGAUGUGGAUAAUGAUAUUGUUAAAUUGAAGCUAUUUCCUUUUUCGCUUAGAGAUCGUGCUAAAGCUUGGUUUUCGUCUUUGCCUAAAAAUAGUAUUGAUUCAUGGAACAAGUGCAAAGAUGCUUUUAUCUCUAAGUAUUUUCCUCCCGCUAAGAUAAUCUCUCUUAGAAACGAUAUUAUGAAUUUUAAGCAACUUGAUCAUGAACAUGUUGCACAAGCUUGGGAGAGAAUGAAAUUAAUGAUACGCAAUUGCCCUACUCAUGGUUUAAAUUUGUGGAUGAUUGUUCAAGAUUUUUAUGCCGGAUUGAAUUCUGCUUCUAGAAAUCUUUUAGAUUCGGCCGCGGGAGGCACUUUUAUGGAAAUCGCUUUAGGAGAAGCUACUAAACUCCUAGAUAAUAUUAUGGUUAAUUAUUCGCAAUGGCAUACUGAAAGAUCUACUAAUAAAAAGGUGCAUGCGAUAGAAGAAAUUAAUGUUUUGAGUGGAAAGAUGGAUGAACUUAUGAAAUUAUUUGCUAAUAAGAGUGUUUCUUCUGAUACUAAUGAUAUGCCCUUGUCUACUUUGAUUGAGAAUAAUAAUGAAUCUAUGGAUGUGAAUUUUGUUGGUAGGAACAAUUUUGGUAACAACGUGUAUAGAUGA
This 906-nucleotide ribosomal RNA is filed under the name Triticum aestivum (bread wheat). RNAcentral describes it as "partial small subunit ribosomal RNA". The record is from RNAcentral. Lineage: Eukaryota; Viridiplantae; Streptophyta; Magnoliopsida; Poales; Poaceae.